This 107-nucleotide ribosomal RNA is filed under the name Seriola dumerili (greater amberjack). The record is from RNAcentral. Lineage: Eukaryota; Metazoa; Chordata; Actinopteri; Carangiformes; Carangidae.
GCUUACGGCCAUACCACUCUGAGCACGCCCGAUCUCGGAAGCCAAGCACGGUCGGCUGGUUAGUACUUGGACGGCAGACCGCCUGGGAAUACCAGGUGCUGUAAGCU